GCCCUUCGCUUAACCUCGGAAACAGAACUAAUCUUUCGCCUAUUACUAAACAUUACCGUGGAGGUAAGCAUUACAAUAAGCCUAUAGGCAAUUUUUGAAAUCCCGCUUCCCCCGGGAU
Molecule: small nuclear RNA, 118 nt
Organism: Centruroides sculpturatus (bark scorpion)
Lineage: Eukaryota; Metazoa; Arthropoda; Arachnida; Scorpiones; Buthidae
Product: U5 spliceosomal RNA
Exons: 1
Source: RefSeq, a predicted model, not a curated record